Microcebus murinus (gray mouse lemur) is the source of this 3284-nucleotide non-coding RNA. The record is from RefSeq and is a predicted model, not a curated record. Lineage: Eukaryota; Metazoa; Chordata; Mammalia; Primates; Cheirogaleidae.
CCUUCAAAAAAAUAAGUUCACACUCCAAAAUAAAACUGGGAACUGAGCAUUACUCAGCAGAGAAGCUGCUUAGAAUGAUGCACAGACUGGAGCAGGGUGGGGGAGCAUGUUGGAAAGUGACUGAAUCUGCCUGCUCAGUCUCCCCCUGCAAUGCAGCCCCUCCUAAGAAGGGCGGAAGGACUCCCCACCCCCUCCCUGCCUGACUCGGCUAAUUCAAAUGAUAGGUUCCAGAACACUUUAGGGAGGGAGAGAGGAUUAAAGCAUCUCGUGCCUCAGCAGUCCAGGGGGGAGCUGUGCUCUCGGCUCGGAGCUCAGCCGGACGGGUUUCGUAAUCGCGUCGCUGCCGCUUCCGCCCUCCGCCAGCCCCACCUCUGCCGGCCCGCCCUCGGCUCCCCCACCGCGCGAAGGAGCUAGCCGGGGAACCCCUCACCGGCGGCCGCGGAGCAGGACUCCCCCGCCCCCCACCAGCUGUAGCUGGACGCCUUGAUGUCGGAGAAGAGCAGGGUUCCAAGUCUGAGGAAGACAUAACCUUGUGCCUGCCUGCCCACUUCUCUCUCUGGCCCUGUAAAUCUCUCAGGAUCUGAGACACUGACCUUCAUUGUUUAGUGAAGAGUUCUGAAGAUUCUACUUUCUCUAGACCCAUCCAGCUGAGUGAACCCAGGGUUUUGUUACACCUUAGAAAAGUGAGGAGUGGGUGGUCAAGGCACCAAAGCAAGAGCCCUCUGGGGCCCAGACAGAGGAGUGAAGCUGGAACCAUCAGGGAACAUGAGUGAAUUUUGGCACAAACUGGGCUGCUGUGUGGUAGAGAAACCCCAGCCGAAGAAGAAGCGAAGACGGAUUGACCGGACCAUGAUUGGGGAACCAAUGAAUUUUGUUCACCUGACUCACAUUGGCUCUGGGGAGAUGGGGGCCGGAGAUGGACUUGCCAUGACAGGUGCAGUUCAGGAGCAGAUGAGGUCCAAGGGAAACCGAGACAGGCCAUGGAGCAAUUCUCGGGGCUUGUAGCUCCAACAGGAAUGGUUUUGGCAUCUUGAAGCCCCGAUUCUGUGUCCAGCCUAGAAGAAAUGCUGCCCCCACCAGAUGCCUCCUAGAACCAGUGACCCAAGGGCCCCUCUUUCCCCUAUCUACCUAACAGUGCCUCAAAAGGCUUAGGGGGCUGGACUCCCUCUACUCCCUCUGGCUAUAGCCCCUCCUGGAGAUGGGGUCAAGGCAGCAGGACUGACCAAGUGACUACUGGUUGGCCAGAGGCGUUCAGCUGAAACCCUGGACACCCUCAGAUCUGAGAUAGGAGUUCUGGGAACCUGGAAUGAGUUCCCUUUUCCUGAAUGAUGGUCUGGGUACCACUUGUUUUUAAACUCUUAACCUGGAACUCCUUAAAUGGGGUAGGUGGGUGAGAUAACCAAAGCUGAUGCCAGUUUUGCCAAGAAGCUCCAUACCUCCCUGCCUUUCUCCUCUUUCUUCCUGGAAUGAACUAAAGCAGAUGUCAAGCAGAAGGGGUGACUACUGCCUAGCCUCCUCUUUCUCUGUAGAUUUCAGACCUUAAGCUUAUAGACCCUCGGUCCCUCUGCCAACACCAGGGUGUUUCUCUAUUUAGGCUUCUAAUCCUAUGUUUCUAUAGCAUUAUUAGCUUCCCAGCAACUUUCCUUUUUUAAAAAAAAUUAAAAAUUUGAGUUCUCUUAAUUAUCUCCAUCUACUUCUAUUGCUAUUCCUUCUGCCUUUAACCCUAUCCCUGUUAGGAACCUUAUUGUUUCCCUGAUGACAUUCCAUGUAAGUUUUGGGGGACCUGUCCUGUUUGUUCUCUGCCACCCUCCCUGCUGGCCCAGGUGAGAGGAGGAAGAGAGGUCAGGAGAGAAAUCCAGAAUGCAAAAAAACUAGGGGUUAUAUAUCAAGGUAGACUUCUGACUAUUGAGGAUGGGAGAGGUGGUGAGAUAAAUAGGUUGAAAACAAUCAUCUUUGAGUUUAGGGGUCUUAUGAUCCUCACAGAUUGGAAACAGGGAGAGGGUCUAGAACAAGGUUUCUCAACCUAGAGAUUUUCGGAUGGAUAAUUCUAUGUAAUGGAGAGCUGUUUUGUGCAUUAUAGGUUGUUUAGCAGCAUGCCUGGCCCACCCUAGUUAUGACAACCCAAAAUGUCUCCAGAUGUUGUCAAAUGUCUAAGGGCAAAAUUGCCUCCAGUUGAGAACUGUAGCUCUAGAGUCAAAGAUACUUUUCUCUUAAGUGAUUUCCACCCUGCACCCUAUCUUCGUCCUAUUAUUCACCUUAAGCCUGAGCCAUGGAUGAACUAGGACUCUUUAUAAAUUAGGCUCAAUAGGGCUGCUUAUUCAAUGUGUUGCUUGUGUUUGUGUGGUCUCAUGUCUUUGUGAUGAACAUGUACUAUGCUUCUCCAUUCUUGUCCCCUGGAGGAGGGGUUCCUGCAGUGUGGAGACAUGAACAGGGUAUUGUAGGAUUGGGGUAGGGGGAGAGAAAAGCAGUAGACACACGCCACCUUAUCCUCCCCAUAUUUUCAGUUCUAUUUCUGUGCCCUGGUCCUAAAACCAGAUACAAAUAAGACUCAGGGAGUUUUGUCUGAAGACCAGGUCCCGCUGCCCACCUGGCUGAAAAUCUACUUUAGAUGAGAAAGCAAUAUAGGAGCAGAGUCUUUAGGCACUUUCAGUUUUCUCAGGUGUUUUUUGUUCUAGCCCUUUCCUCGUAGGCUAAUUAGGAAGACAGAACAAGAUAGAUGAACUUCUGCCUGCUCUGAGACAAGAAGGCUGGGGUCUCUUAUUAUCUCUGCAGCCAGAAGCAUCCUCUUUUAUGGUAGUGGGGGUCAGGAAUGUUGGAACUGGCAUGCACUUUGCUGAUUCCACCAUCCAUCCAGUUUGCUCCCACCUCCAGUACAGUGACUAAGGUUCUAAUUUUUAAAAAUUUCGGUGUAUUUCCUGCUGCUUUUCAAGAUUGGUCAUAAAAUUACAUUCCCAAUUUACUCUUAGCUUCAGUCUAGCUGGUUGCUCUCUGAUCAGUAGCCUGAGUGUUACACUAGAGAUCUAAAGUGUUAACAGGAUAGGGUAGAAAGGUUGUGGACUCCUAGAAUCUCUGGUCACCAUGAUCUUCAGCCUCAUUCUGAUAUCUGUUCUUUGGACACAGUCUUGUCUUUUCUUUGGUGCUCUCUUGCCUUUAGCUACCUUCUCUAAUGUGUAUGCUAUCAUCACUUUAAUAAUAAAGUGAUGGGAAUGGGUUUGAGAGUCAUAAUUUAUAUUAAAAAAUUGUUGGACUUUUAAAUACAUUUUUCAAAUAAAAACUUUUAAGCA